UAAGGAAUCUUGGUCAAUGGGCGCAAGCCUGAACCAGCUAUGCCGCGUGCAGGAAGAAGGCCUAAUAGGUUGUAAACUGCUUUUGUAUAGGAGAAAUAGGCUUCUGUGGAAGCUUAUGAUAGUACUAUAAGAAUAAGCACCGGCUAACUCCGUGCCAGCAGCCGCGGUAAGACGGAGGGUGCAAGUGUUAUCCGGAUUUACUGGGUUUAAAGGGUACGUAGGCGGCUUGGUAAGUCAGUAGUGAAAACUAGCAGCUCAACUGUUAGCUUGCUAUUGAUACUGCUAGGCUAGAGUGUAGUCGAGGUGGGUGGAAUUUUAUAUGUAGCGGUGAAAUGCAUAGAUAUAUAGAGGAACACCAAUAACGAAGGUAACUCACUAGGCUAUUACUGACGCUGAGGUACGAAAGCGUGGGGAGCAAACAGG
This 423-nucleotide ribosomal RNA is filed under the name uncultured DHVE6 group euryarchaeote. Its description in RNAcentral is "bacterial SSU rRNA". It matches the Rfam family "Bacterial small subunit ribosomal RNA", at positions 355 to 776 of the family's 1533-position model. The record is from RNAcentral. Lineage: Archaea; Methanobacteriati; Methanobacteriota.